ACGUUAGCGGCGGACGGGUGAGUAACACGUGGAUAACCUACCUAUAAGACUGGGAUAACUUCGGGAAACCGGAGCUAAUACCGGAUAACAUGUUGAACCGCAUGGUUCAACAGUGAAAGACGGUCUUGCUGUCACUUAUAGAUGGAUCCGCGCCGCAUUAGCUAGUUGGUAAGGUAACGGCUUACCAAGGCAACGAUGCGUAGCCGACCUGAGAGGGUGAUCGGCCACACUGGAACUGAGACACGGUCCAGACUCCUACGGGAGGCAGCAGUAGGGAAUCUUCCGCAAUGGGCGAAAGCCUGACGGAGCAACGCCGCGUGAGUGAAGAAGGUCUUCGGAUCGUAAAACUCUGUUAUUAGGGAAGAACAAAUGUGUAAGUAACUAUGCACGUCUUGACGGUACCUAAUCAGAAAGCCACGGCUAACUACGUGCCAGCAGCCGCGGUAAUACGUAGGUGGCAAGCGUUAUCCGGAAUUAUUGGGCGUAAAGCGCGCGUAGGCGGUUUUUUAAGUCUGAUGUGAAAGCCCACGGCUCAACCGUGGAGGGUCAUUGGAAACUGGAAAACUUGAGUGCAGAAGAGGAAAGUGGAAUUCCAUGUGUAGCGGUGAAAUGCGCAGAGAUAUGGAGGAACACCAGUGGCGAAGGCGACUUUCUGGUCUGUAACUGACGCUGAUGUGCGAAAGCGUGGGGAUCAAACAGGAUUAGAUACCCUGGUAGUCCACGCCGUAAACGAUGAGUGCUAAGUGUUAGGGGGUUUCCGCCCCUUAUUGCUGCAGCUAACGCAUUAAGCACUUCGCCUGGGGAGUACGACCGCAAGGUUGGAACUCAAAAGGAAUUUUAAGGGGGACCCCCCCAAACCGGUUGGAACCCCGUGGGUUUUAUUUC
This 885-nucleotide ribosomal RNA is filed under the name Staphylococcus sp. Its description in RNAcentral is "bacterial SSU rRNA". It matches the Rfam family "Bacterial small subunit ribosomal RNA", at positions 89 to 952 of the family's 1533-position model. Lineage: Bacteria; Bacillati; Bacillota; Bacilli; Caryophanales; Staphylococcaceae. The record is from RNAcentral.